RNAcentral lists this long non-coding RNA (1540 nucleotides) under Capra hircus (goat). RNAcentral's name for it is "lncRNA (ENSCHIG00010003722.1)". The record is from RNAcentral. Lineage: Eukaryota; Metazoa; Chordata; Mammalia; Artiodactyla; Bovidae.
CAAAGAAAGAAGUGAGUUAGAAAUCAAUUUUCCAUAUUAGCAUCUGGAAUGGUGUAAGGGGGGUAGAUAGAGGAGGUAAUAAAAAUGUAGUUUUUUAGUAUUUAGCCAAUGAUGAUAAAAUGUCAAUUUAAAUGGCUACUGAAAUGAUCUCAACAGCUGUAUUUACUCAAGCUUAAAAUCAUGGACAUUUUCCACACUGUAUUUAUUUCUAAUGGAAUACUAAGCACUUCCCUCCAAAAUAGCAAACCAAAGAAAACAAUUGCUUGUCUUUAUCAGUCUCUGACAGUGCAGAAUACCUUGUAAUCCUCAAGAUAAUCUUAGUUACAUUCAUUUCUGGUUAAAAACACAUGGCUCUUUUUUCCUACAUUUUUUUCCUAUUUUUCAAAAUGGAAGGUGCAGUUUGUUUCUCAUUAGGGUUAGUGACAUCUGUACAACAAAAGUGUUUAUGUAGUUUUGAAAAUGUGAGGGUAAGAGUUUAAGGAGCAAGGGAAAUUUUGCAUGUAAACCUUGUUAGCAGUUCUUUAGUCAGCAUCAUUUUAACUACCUGUACCAGUAAUUCCUCCAGGAAUGAUGAACAGGCCAGAGACUCUUCCUGGGUCUGCAAGUUACAGAGACUUUAAUUACGAGAAUCAAUUCUAAUAGGCAAUCUUUUUUCUCUCUCUAUUUGUGUCACAGUGAGUGUGUUACACUGCAUAUUCACCUUCACUGUUUUCUUCAUAGCUCGUUCCCCAGAGACCAGUGUGAGAGAGUAUGAUGACAUCUGUGAUUGUCAGAAUGGAGGCACCUGUGACCCUCUGACUGGGCGAUGCAAGUGCCCCCCAGGGGUUCAUGGGAAAACCUGUGGAAACGAAACCAAUCAAGAGACCACAUUUUCUACAUGGGCUGAUAAAACACAAAAAAAGAAACUGCUUGUACAAUCCCAGGAGCUGAAGGCAGAGAGUCAUGAAGAUGUAAGUCUUCAGGGAUUGCCAGAAAUCAUGGAGAGUUUAUUAGAUUCUUACAGAUUGUAGAACUGGGGAGAUAGAAAAACCAAGUUUAGUUUGCUCUCUGAGAGGUGCAGGAAGGCUCAUGCUCACACCCUAGUUAUUUAUCCCCCAAUUUUUAUUCAUUUAUUCAAAAUAUAUGUAUUAAGUGUUGCAAGACACUGUGCCAGGCUUUAUGAUAUGUUAAGAGAACAAAAAUGAAACAGACCCUGGUCCUUCCUCAUGGAACUCACAGUCUUGUUCAAAGCAGACAUAAGUUACACAUGUGGGUAGGUAUUUCAAGUUAAAUCUUAAUGUGUGCUUGGAGGUUGAACCAUGAGGGCCCAUGCAGACUGUGUGAGCCAGGGAAUGGCUUGUAGAGAAGUUAGCCUUAAGCAGAAGUGUAUAAAAUGAGGAAACAUGAAGCAAGGCAAGAGAGAAGGAAAAGCACUGCAGACUCGGGGGGCCACGUGUGACCGGACUCUGAAGUGAGAAAGAACAAGGUGAUUUAGGGGUGCCCGAGAGGGAUCUGCUGAUAGAAUCAAAGUCAGGAAGAGCUACUGCAACAUAAGGUCAGC